This 497-nucleotide ribosomal RNA is filed under the name uncultured bacterium. Its description in RNAcentral is "partial 16S ribosomal RNA". It matches the Rfam family "Bacterial small subunit ribosomal RNA", at positions 28 to 507 of the family's 1533-position model. The record is from RNAcentral.
GAUGAACGCUGGCGGCUUGCCUAAUACAUGCAAGUCGAGCGAACGGACGAGAAGCUUGCUUCUCUGAUGUUAGCGGCGGACGGGUGAGUAACACGUGGAUAACCUACCUAUAAGACUGGGAUAACUUCGGGAAACCGGAGCUAAUACCGGAUGAUAUUUUGAACCGCAUGGUUCAAAAGUGAAAGACGGUCUUGCUGUCACUUAUAGAUGGAUCCGCGCUGCAUUAGCUAGUUGGUAAGGUAACGGCUUACCAAGGCAACGAUGCAUAGCCGACCUGAGAGGGUGAUCGGCCACACUGGAACUGAGACACGGUCCAGACUCCUACGGGAGGCAGCAGUAGGGAAUCUUCCGCAAUGGGCGAAAGCCUGACGGAGCAACGCCGCGUGAGUGAUGAAGGUCUUCGGAUCGUAAAACUCUGUUAUUAGGGAAGAACAUAUGUGUAAGUAACUGUGCACAUCUUGACGGUACCUAAUCAGAAAGCCACGGCUAACUACGUG